CCUCAGGCCAGGAGCCAUGUCAUUCCCCUCUCAGACCCUCUACAGCACACGGCAGAAUGCCUGGCACAGCAAACCUGUGUUGAAUUCAACUGAAUGGAAGUUCUUGGAAAUUCAGCAAGGAGUUCAGUGUCCUAAAGUGAGAAGAAGGAUGAAACAGAGAUCUGCCACCCACAGAACACUACAGGAGGUUUCUUCAUGAGGAAAGAUAGAGUUCUGCAUCUGCUCUGCAUUCAGCCCUGAGAUCCAGCUUCCACAGCCCAAGGCAUGAUAAGUUCUUCAAUUCAAGAACCCAAAAAUUGUCAGAUAGCAGCUAUAACCUUCAAAUCCAAUGUAUUCCAGUCUGAAAUGUUCCUCCGUGCGUGACCAGGACUGCUCAACCCCACAGAGCCCAACGUUGGGAGUAUGGAGUGCAUAAAUUUCCUAAGUAUGUCAUUGGGAGUGAUGAUAACUGGACCACUCCUACUUCUACUCCUUGAUUCACAGCCUGGUGACCAAGUGAAUGGUGGGAAUCCUUUCAGCUGCAUGUGAAAAAAACCAGCAGUGAUCUAAGCCAUGAUGAAAUUUAUUGGGACGAAACAUGGAGUGAGGUGGUUUGGGCAGCAAACCACCUUCCACUGAGAUGGAAUAAAAGUUGCAGGAGAAUGAGAACAGAUUGCACCAAGAAGUCCUUUAACUGUCUUCAGGAAACACCUCUAGUUCAAGCCUUUAAGAAAAAAAAAAAAAAAAUAACCUUUAAAAACUAACCAGGUUUCCACUGCG
Molecule: long non-coding RNA, 759 nt
Organism: Lynx canadensis (Canada lynx)
Lineage: Eukaryota; Metazoa; Chordata; Mammalia; Carnivora; Felidae
Exons: 6
Source: RefSeq, a predicted model, not a curated record